This 492-nucleotide ribosomal RNA is filed under the name uncultured bacterium. RNAcentral describes it as "partial 16S ribosomal RNA". It matches the Rfam family "Bacterial small subunit ribosomal RNA", at positions 29 to 507 of the family's 1533-position model. The record is from RNAcentral.
AGUGAACGCUGGCGGUAGGCCUAACACAUGCAAGUCGAACGGCAGCACAGUAAGAGCUUGCUCUUACGGGUGGCGAGUGGCGGACGGGUGAGGAAUACAUCGGAAUCUACUUUUUCGUGGGGGAUAACGUAGGGAAACUUACGCUAAUACCGCAUACGACCUACGGGUGAAAGCAGGGGAUCUUCGGGCCUCGCGCGAUUGAUUGAGCCGAUGUCGGAUUAGCUAGUUGGCGGGGUAAAGGCCCACCAAGGCGACGAUCCGUAGCUGGUCUGAGAGGAUGAUCGGCCACACUGGAACUGAGACACGGUCCAGACUCCUACGGGAGGCAGCAGUAGGGAAUCUUGGACAAUGGGCGCAAGCCUGAUCCAGCCAUACCGCGUGAGUGAAGAAGGCCUUCGGGUUGUAAAGCCCUUUUGUUGGGAAAGAAAAGCAGCAGGUUAAUACCCCGCUGUUCUGACGGUACCCAAAGAAUAAGCACCGGCUAACUUCGUG